UACAGAGGUCCCAAGCGUUGUUCGGAUUCACUGGGCGUAAAGGGUGCGUAGGUGGCUUGGUAAGUUCGAUGUGAAAUCUCCGGGCUUAACCCGGAAAUGGCAUUGAAUACUAUUGAGCUGGAGGUUUGGAGGGGGGACUGGAAUUCUCGGUGUAGCAGUGAAAUGCGUAGAUAUCGAGAGGAACACCAGUGGCGAAGGCGAGUCCCUGGACAACACCUGACACUGAGGCACGAAAGCUAGGGGAGCGAACGGG
RNAcentral lists this ribosomal RNA (253 nucleotides) under uncultured bacterium. Its description in RNAcentral is "partial 16S ribosomal RNA". It matches the Rfam family "Bacterial small subunit ribosomal RNA", at positions 524 to 776 of the family's 1533-position model. The record is from RNAcentral.